RNAcentral lists this ribosomal RNA (429 nucleotides) under Chloroflexota bacterium. RNAcentral's name for it is "Chloroflexi bacterium partial 16S ribosomal RNA". It matches the Rfam family "Bacterial small subunit ribosomal RNA", at positions 355 to 776 of the family's 1533-position model. The record is from RNAcentral. Lineage: Bacteria; Bacillati; Chloroflexota.
UGGGGAAUAUUGCACAAUGGGCGCAAGCCUGAUGCAGCCAUGCCGCGUGUAUGAAGAAGGCCUUCGGGUUGUAAAGUACUUUCAGCGUGGAGGAAGGGAGUAAAGUUAAUACCUUUGCUCAUUGACGUUACCCGCAGAAGAAGCACCGGCUAACUCCGUGCCAGCAGCCGCGGUAAUACGGAGGGUGCAAGCGUUAAUCGGAAUUACUGGGCGUAAAGCGCACGCAGGCGGUUUGUUAAGUCAGAUGUGAAAUCCCCGGGCUCAACCUGGGAACUGCAUCUGAUACUGGCAAGCUUGAGUCUCGUAGAGGGGGGUAGAAUUCCAGGUGUAGCGGUGAAAUGCGUAGAGAUCUGGAGGAAUACCGGUAGCGAAGGCGGCCCCCUGGACGAAGACUGACGCUCAGGUGCGAAAGCGUGGGGAGCAAACAGG